AUUGAACGCUGGCGGCAUGCCUUACACAUGCAAGUCGAACGGUAACAGGUCUUCGGAUGCUGACGAGUGGCGAACGGGUGAGUAAUACAUCGGAACGUGCCUAGUAGUGGGGGAUAACUACUCGAAAGAGUGGCUAAUACCGCAUGAGAUCUACGGAUGAAAGCAGGGGAUCGCAAGACCUUGUGCUACUAGAGCGGCCGAUGGCAGAUUAGGUAGUUGGUGGGAUAAAAGCUUACCAAGCCGACGAUCUGUAGCUGGUCUGAGAGGACGAUCGGCCACACUGGGGCUGGGACACGGCCCAGCCUCCUCCGGGAGGCAGCGGUGGGGAAUUUUGGACAAUUGGCGCAAGCCUGAUCCAGCAAUGCCGCGUGCGGGAUGAAGGCCUUCGGGUUGUAAACUGCUUUUGUACGGAACGAAAAGCCCCGGGUUAAUACCCUGGGGUCAUGACGUUACCGUAAGAAUAAGCACCGGCUAACUACGUGCCAGCCGCCGCCGUAA
Molecule: ribosomal RNA, 498 nt
Filed under: uncultured bacterium
Lineage: Bacteria
Description: partial 16S ribosomal RNA
Rfam family: Bacterial small subunit ribosomal RNA
Source: RNAcentral